Molecule: ribosomal RNA, 254 nt
Filed under: uncultured bacterium
Lineage: Bacteria
Description: partial 16S ribosomal RNA
Rfam family: Archaeal small subunit ribosomal RNA
Source: RNAcentral
UCCCGGCGCCACAAGUGGAGAUCAUGAUUACUGGGUCUAAAACGUUCGUAGCUGGUUUGGAAAGUUUCUUGUGAAAGUCCUGUAGCUUAACUCAGGAAUUGCAAGAAAUACUACUAGACUCGAGACCGGAAGAGAUGAGAGGUAUUGUUUGGGUAGCGGUAAAAUGCAAUAAUCCUUACAAGACCAACUAAGGCGAAGGCAUCUCAUUUGGACGGAUCUGACAGUGAGGAACGAAAGCUAGGGGAGCGAACCGG